This 1429-nucleotide long non-coding RNA is filed under the name Chloebia gouldiae (Gouldian finch). RNAcentral's name for it is "Erythrura gouldiae (Gouldian finch) lncRNA (ENSEGOG00005010649.1)". Lineage: Eukaryota; Metazoa; Chordata; Aves; Passeriformes; Passeridae. The record is from RNAcentral.
GGAAUUUGGAAGGAUUUUGAGGGGUUUUGGGGAGAUUUUGGGGAAUUUUGGGGGAUUUUUGGGGGGAUAUUGGGGGGAAUUUUGGGGGAUUUGGGGAAGUUUUGGGGAAUUUAGGGGGAAUUUUGGGGAUUUUUGGGGGAAAUUUUGGGGGAUUUUGAGGGGUUUUUGGGGAAUUUUGGGGGACUUCUGGGGGAAUUUCGCAGAUUUUUAGGGGAGUUUGGGGGAAUUUCGGGGGAUUUUGGGGGAUUUGAGAUUUUGGGAGGGAAUUUUGGGGGGAUUUUGGGGGAAUUUGGGGAAAUUUUGGGGAGUUUGGGGUAAAUUUGGGGGGAUUUGGUGGAAUUUGGGAGGACUUUGGGAGAAAUUUGGGAUUUGAGGGUUUUUGGGUGGAAUUUGAGGAUUUUUGUUGAAAUUUUUGGCAUUUGGGGUGGAAUUUUGGGAAUUUGGGGGUUUUGGGGUGGAAUUUGGGAAUUUUGGGGUGGAAUUUUGGGAAUUUGGGAAUUUGUGGGUGGAAUUUGGGGAUUUUGGGGUGGAAUUUGGGAAUUUUGGGGUGGAAUUUUGGGAUUCCCCCCCCCAGGUCCGCCAGCCGCUCCGGGGAGAGGAAGAAGAGCAAGAAGAAGAAACAUCGGUGAGAGGGGGCGGGGCCUCGAUAAAGGGGCGUGGCCACUGGAAAAUGGGCGUGGUCUCAACCAUUAAAGGGGCGUGGCUUUGUUUAUCAAAGGGUUGUGGCCUCAUCUAUUAAAGGGGCGUGGCCUCAUAGAUUAGUGGGGCGUGGUCUUGUCUAUCAGGGGCGUGGCCUUAUCUAUUAUAGGGGCGUGGCCUCGACUAUCAAAGGGGCGUGGCCACUGAAAAAUGGGUGUGGCCUUAAAGGAGCGUGGCAUUAUCGACUAAAGGGGGCGUGACCUCCUCUAUCAAAGGGGCGUGGCUUUAUCAAAGGGGCGUGGCCUCAUCUAUAAAAGGGGCGUGGCCUCAUCUAUUAAAGGGAUGUGGUCUCUUCUAUUAAAGGGGCGUGGCCUCAUCUAUUAGAGGGGCGUGGCCUUGCCAAUGGGGCAUGGCCACUGGAAAUGGGUGUGACCUCAAAGGGGCGUGGCCUCAUAUAGUAAAGGGGUGUGGCCUUGUCUAUCAAAGGGGUGUGGCCUCAUCUAUUAUAGGGGCGUGGCCUCGUCAAUGGGGCGUGGCCACUGGAAAAUGGGUGUGACCUUAAAGGGGCGCGGCCUCAUCUAUUAGAGGGGCGUGGCCUUGUCUAUCAAAGGGGCGUGGCCUCAUCUAUAAAUGGGGCGUGGUCACUGUAAAUUAGUUGUGACCUCGAAUGGGCGUGGCCUCAUAGAUUAAAGGGGCGUGGUCUUGUCUAUCAAAGGGGCGUGUCCUUAUCAAAAGGGCGUGGCCUAAUCUAUAAAAUAAAUUUCACCUAUUGAAGGGGUGUGACCUUUUA